Molecule: small RNA, 67 nt
Filed under: Sinorhizobium meliloti 2011
Lineage: Bacteria; Pseudomonadati; Pseudomonadota; Alphaproteobacteria; Hyphomicrobiales; Rhizobiaceae
Description: putative ncRNA
Source: RNAcentral
CCUCGUUAUCAUUGCGCUGUUCGUCCUGGCUUGGCUCGUAGUCUGAGGAGCCGGUCGGGCAGCGGAC